CAUCCCCCUUCUCUGUAUCCCUGUUCAUAGAUGGAAUCAGCUACUCCUAUAUCUCAUCCAAGUUGAUACAAUUAUUAGUUCACUCUAUUUCAAAAUCAAGUCUCAAGUAUCUGUUGAUUUUUUUCCAUAAAGGGAUUACACAAAUAACGUGGUUAAUACUUGCUUUUCUGGCAUUUUUGGGUGUGCAAUUAUUAAUAUAUAAUCAGGCAAUGCAAACAAGAGAUUUUCGAAUAUUACAAAUGCAUUACAUAUCAAACAUCCAACAUUUCUGCUU
RNAcentral lists this long non-coding RNA (274 nucleotides) under Olea europaea (common olive). RNAcentral's name for it is "long non-coding RNA (OEUR_LNC007266)". Lineage: Eukaryota; Viridiplantae; Streptophyta; Magnoliopsida; Lamiales; Oleaceae. The record is from RNAcentral.